Molecule: ribosomal RNA, 492 nt
Filed under: uncultured bacterium
Lineage: Bacteria
Description: partial 16S ribosomal RNA
Rfam family: Bacterial small subunit ribosomal RNA
Source: RNAcentral
AGUGAACGCUGGCGGUGGGCCUAACACAUGCAAGUCGAACGGCAGCACAGUAAGAGCUUGCUCUUACGGGUGGCGAGUGGCGGACGGGUGAGGAAUACAUCGGAAUCUACUUUUUCGUGGGGGAUAACGUAGGGAAACUUACGCUAAUACCGCAUACGACCUACGGGUGAAAGCAGGGGAUCUUCGGACCUUGCGCGAUUGAAUGAGCCGAUGUCGGAUUAGCUAGUUGGCGGGGUAAAGGCCCACCAAGGCGACGAUCCGUAGCUGGUCUGAGAGGAUGAUCAGCCACACUGGAGCUGAGACACGGUCCAGACUCCUACGGGAGGCAGCAGUGGGGAAUAUUGGACAAUGGGCGCAAGCCUGAUCCAGCCAUACCGCGUGGGUGAAGAAGGCCUUCGGGUUGUAAAGCCCUUUUGUUGGGAAAGAAAAGCAGCAGGUUAAUACCCCGCUGUUCUGACGGUACCCAAAGAAUAAGCACCGGCUAACUUCGUG